GAUCCUGGCUCAGGACGAACGCUGGCGGCGCGCCUAACACAUGCAAGUCGAACGAGCGAGAGAGAGCUUGCUUUCUCGAGCGAGUGGCGAACGGGUGAGUAACGCGUGAGGAACCUGCCUCAAAGAGGGGGACAACAGUUGGAAACGACUGCUAAUACCGCAUAAGCCCACGGCUCGGCAUCGAGCAGAGGAAAAAGGAGCAAUCCGCUUUGAGAUGGCCUCGCGUCCGAUUAG
RNAcentral lists this ribosomal RNA (234 nucleotides) under uncultured bacterium. RNAcentral describes it as "partial 16S ribosomal RNA". It matches the Rfam family "Bacterial small subunit ribosomal RNA", at positions 15 to 244 of the family's 1533-position model. The record is from RNAcentral.